Molecule: long non-coding RNA, 639 nt
Organism: Oreochromis aureus
Lineage: Eukaryota; Metazoa; Chordata; Actinopteri; Cichliformes; Cichlidae
Source: Ensembl
GGUGAUGCUUGUAUAUAUGAAUCAAUCAGAGACUACGAUGACAGAGUAAAGGCUGAAUGCAGGGAUUUCACAUAUUCUUUGAUUGAGCUUAAAAACUUCACUAACAAAGGUAAGAAUUCAAGUUAAUUCAGUUCAAUCCAGUUUUAUUUAUAUAGCACUAAAUCACAAUUGACUCAUUGUGCUUUUUAUUGUGAGAUAAAGGCCCUACAGUAAUACAGAGAAAACCACAACAAUCAGAUGAUCUGAAAGCCGAAGGCUCUGCUUUCCAUUCGACUUUUAAAUAUCUGAUGAAUCACAACUUUUGUUGGCCCUAUACCAACUUUUUUGAGAGAUGUUGCUAUUAUCAUUAAACUUUGUACAGAGCCCCAGAUCCUGUGGAAGUGGAUUUGUAACUGUAAAGGUAAGAAUGUCAUCCUAUUUUACCCUGAUGAUCUGUCCAUCCUCUCAUAGAUGACAUCCUGUUGUACGCAGACGCCACCUACAGUGACAAAAGUAAGCAAAGCAAUAAAAUAGGUACCAUAUUUUCUUCUCUUUUACAUUUCAUUUAUACAUCAAGGAAAACUAUAUAAAUGAGUAAAGUUGUCAGUUUGAAGUAAGAUGUUACUAAAAAUCAUUUUGAAAAAUGUUUUUUAUUUGCAG